Molecule: long non-coding RNA, 536 nt
Filed under: Homo sapiens (human)
Lineage: Eukaryota; Metazoa; Chordata; Mammalia; Primates; Hominidae
Description: long non-coding RNA NONHSAT173603.1
Source: RNAcentral
GGAAGAUGAGUGCUUUUAUGCCCAUAGUCUUGUGGAACUGAAAGUCUGGAUAAUGCAAAAUGAAACAGGUAUCUCACAUGAUGCUAUUGCUCAAGAGUCUAAACGAUAUUGGCAGAAUUUGGAAGCAAAUGUACCUGGAGCGCAGGUACUUGGUAAUCAAAUAAUGCCUGGAUUUCUUAAUAUGAAGAUAAAGUUUGUGUGCGCCCAGUGUCUGAGAAACGGUCAAGUCAUUGAACCAGACAAAAACAGAAAAUAUUGUAGUGCAAAAGCAAGGCAUUCGUGGACCAAAGACCGGCGUGCGAUGAGAGUGAUGUCUAUUGAACGUAAGAAGUGGAUGAACAUCCGUCCUCUCCCCACAAAGAAACAAAUGCCUUUACAGUUUGAUCUGUGCAACCAUAUUGCUUCUGGGAAAAAAUGUCAAUAUGUUGGAAACUGUUCCUUUGCUCAUAGUCCUGAGGAAAGAGAAGUUUGGACUUACAUGAAGGAGAAUGGGAUACAAGAUAUGGAGCAAUUUUACGAACUAUGGCUCAAGAGUC